Oryza brachyantha (malo sina) is the source of this 2209-nucleotide long non-coding RNA. RefSeq lists it as uncharacterized. The transcript is spliced from 3 exons. The record is from RefSeq and is a predicted model, not a curated record. Lineage: Eukaryota; Viridiplantae; Streptophyta; Magnoliopsida; Poales; Poaceae.
CAAGACAUACACGUAUGAAAAAAAAAAAGCAAAGCCUCACUCCUUCAACGCAAGUGGCAAACACCUACAGUAUUUUUCUCAGUUUGCUUUUCCUCUCUCUAGGCGAUAGCGCCAGCGACGCCCUCUCUCCCCGUCAACCAGAGCGGCGGCGGAGCGAGGCUGGAUGACGCCGGCUCGUGCGGGCGGCGGGCGGAGCUCGACGCACGCUGACGACGGAUCGACUCGCGGCGGUGGCGGAUCGAGGCGCUGGGGCGGCGGACGGAGCUCGAGGCACGGCGACGACUGAUCGACGUGUGGCGGUGGCGAGUCGAGGCGCUGCGGCGACGGCCGGAGCUCGGAGCGGGCGGGUGGCGGGUCAAGGCGCAGCGGCGGAUCUAGGUGGCUCGGGUCCCGACGGCGGGGGGUAGUGGCUCUGGCCGGCUGGUGCCCGGCGGCGGCGACGGCCAUCGGCCAAGGUUCUAUUCAUGUUGUAAAAAUGGUGUCUGCAUGUAUGGUCCAAGGUCUAUUCAUGUUUAUUUCGGUCGGAUGAUGUCAAUUUUGGUGCUCCUGCUUUCAGCCACGUUUGCCGAUGGUGUUUGCUGAUGGUAUAGGAAUGCCCACUUGGUGUUCGACCUGCUUUUUUGUGAGUUUUUUCUUUGCCAUGCGUUUUUCUCGCAUGGUAAGUUAUAUGUUGUUGUAUGUCGUGCUACCUCUAAAACUGGUCCGAAAAUACUAAUUGAGAAUGAAGAAGGGAGGUGUACUGCUUGCACCUGGAAUAUAGUUUAUCGCGAAGGAAUUUCUACUCUUGCAUGACAUGUAUUGCAUUUAUGGUAUUGAGCUAGCUAGAUUCCAGCACUGAGUUUAAGGAGGUGUUUCGGUUUCUCACUUCAUCUACCUAGCUAGCUGCAGGACCGCGUGCAGCUGCAUCUAUUGCUUCUGUGGUCAGCGUCUCAGCGAUUGCUUUCAAGGCAAUUCACAAUACAAUUGUUGUUUCCAGGUCUUCCAUGCGUUGGAUAGUACCUGCCUUGUCUGGUUAUGGGUUAAGGCAAUUUAAAGACAAAUUAAGGUAACAUCCGUUUUCCUUUAUUUCUUGUGCACCUUGCAUGCACAACUACGAUUGGAACUAUUGAUAUCAUUUGCUGUUUCUCGCUACGUUUUGGUGUGGUCUGAUAUGGAAGGUGACCGUGUGGUUGGCCGAGUUGUCGGCGGGACUGUCAUUAGCUCGAAAGAAGUGUUCAUUCUUUCACAUGUAUGUGGAAUUUUAUUUGCCUUGGUUGCUCCCUGUUUAGAUGCUUUUUAUAAAGAUGUUUAUUUUAAUGGCUUAUUUCUGCUCAGGCUGUGAUACGUCGUUAGAUAAAGGUGAGUAUGUACUGUCUUCUGUAAACGUAGAAUGCAUUGAUGGUCGGUAUUUUUAUGUCUUAACAAAUCUCACCAUACCAGACACCUAAUCUGGCCCCUUCCUGUAAACGCCUCUUCAUAUGCAAACAUUGUACGACCAUCGUCUUUGGUAUGAAGGCAAAAUAAACCUCCUUUAUCAUCUGUUCUUUUCUUCUGCAUCUUACAUUUCAUUCAAGGUUUUAAUACUACAUACAAGAUCCGGUGGAGGGGAGACUGUGCUGCCCAGAUCUGUUGGCCACCACCUCCCUGCUGGCAGAUUUGGUUGCCUGGAGCCGAGGGCGACAACUAACACAUGACGCUCAUGGGCGGUGUUCGUGGCAGGAGGCACUUUCAUGGUGGCUGCCUCGACCCGCCGAGAAGGACGUCGGCAUGGAUGACAAUAGCUUCUGCUUGCCUCCCUCGAUAGGGCCUGCUUGAUUUGAGUUUACCAAGGAAAAUGUGCAUCACUGAAGAUCAAUUUCAAUGAUACAGCCAUGUUUUCAGGUUUCUCAUGAGACUGCACUAAUUAAGUGGCAAAGGUGAACACAUCAGCAAGCAAAGAACCCCAAAUUCCUCGAAAAAAGGCAGUCACAGUCCAUUGCAAGGCCAAUUUGAUCGUGCUGAAGAACCGUACGAAGAUUGGCUCAAUUUAUACGUUCUAGAGGAGUUGAUGCAAGCACAUCCAAAAAUGAACUCUUUUUAUCCAACAUGUACUAAAAUAAAGCCAUGAUGUAUUGCUACAAAUAUUAUAUUUUGAUAUCUAGGGACUGUUCACAAACUAAAUAUAUUUAUAAAGGUGAAUUAAUACAUAAAAUCUUCUUAACUUAAAAAAGUGUUAUUUUGUUUGCCUAAU